GAUGAACGCUGGCGGCGUGCCUAAUACAUGCAAGUCGAGCGAACAGACGAGGAGCUUGCUCCACUGACGUUAGCGGCGGACGGGUGAGUAACACGUGGAUAACCUACCUAUAAGACUGGGAUAACUUCGGGAAACCGGAGCUAAUACCGGAUAAUAUAUUUAACCGCAUGGUUCAAUAGUGAAAGACGGUUUUGCUGUCACUUAUAGAUGGAUCCGCGCCGCAUUAGCUAGUUGGUAAGGUAACGGCUUACCAAGGCGACGAUGCGUAGCCGACCUGAGAGGGUGAACGGCCACACUGGAACUGAGACACGGUCCAGACUCCUACGGGAGGCAGCAGUAGGGAAUCUUCCGCAAUGGGCGAAAGCCUGACGGAGCAACGCCGCGUGAGUGAUGAAGGUCUUCGGAUCGUAAAACUCUGUUAUUAGGGAAGAACAAAUGUGUAAGUAACUAUGCACGUCUUGACGGUACCUAAUCAGAAAGCCACGGCUAACUACGUG
This 497-nucleotide ribosomal RNA is filed under the name uncultured bacterium. Its description in RNAcentral is "partial 16S ribosomal RNA". It matches the Rfam family "Bacterial small subunit ribosomal RNA", at positions 28 to 507 of the family's 1533-position model. The record is from RNAcentral.